This 639-nucleotide long non-coding RNA is filed under the name Nicotiana benthamiana. RNAcentral describes it as "long non-coding RNA (NBEN_LNC006243)". The record is from RNAcentral. Lineage: Eukaryota; Viridiplantae; Streptophyta; Magnoliopsida; Solanales; Solanaceae.
UGUGCAUAAACAUUCCGAAUACGAGGGUGCAUUUAAGACAAAGAAAAUGUCAUGCAAUCAAAAAUCAAUGAGUAGUGGACAAUAGGAACAUGGUAGUCAUCUCAGAGAAGAGGGAAUAUCAGAUAGCAUGCAAAAGGGGUCAAGUAAAAAGGUCUUAUACAGUUUAGCAAGAAGUCAGAAUCAUAUGAAGAAACAAAAGUGAAACAAAGAUUUUGAAACUCAAUCGAGCAGUAGAUGAACUAACUUCAGGAACUCAAAUAGGUCCAAAAAGAUUAGGAUUUUGAAACCAAACAAGUCAAAUAUGAGGAACAAACAAAUCACGUAACGAGUAGCCUCAAAACUCGAAUGAACCCCCAAAUUCUAAUGUUUAUUCUAAUGAAAUAAGUACAAAAAUCUCAGAAAGGAACUGAGACCUUUAACUUGCAUUUUCCAGUAGAAGAAACUCAUGAAAAAACAUAUUCAAAGAACAACAUGCAAAAUACAGUAAAAGAGCUUAUAAGAACAUAGUAGAAGAACAACAUAAGAAACCCAAUAGAAGAAAAAUCAUACGAAACACAGUAGAAGAAACACAAUAGAAGAAGCACAUUAGAAUCGAAGUAGAAGAAACACAUAAGAAUCACGGUAGAACAUGCUAAAGAU